RNAcentral lists this ribosomal RNA (631 nucleotides) under uncultured Actinomycetes bacterium. RNAcentral's name for it is "bacterial SSU rRNA". It matches the Rfam family "Bacterial small subunit ribosomal RNA", at positions 787 to 1420 of the family's 1533-position model. Lineage: Bacteria; Bacillati; Actinomycetota; Actinomycetes. The record is from RNAcentral.
CUGGUAGUCCACGCCGUAAACGGUGGGCGCUAGUUGUGCGAACCUUCCACGGUUUGUGCGACGCAGCUAACGCAUUAAGCGCCCCGCCUGGGGAGUACGAUCGCAAGAUUAAAACUCAAAGGAAUUGACGGGGCCCCGCACAAGCAGCGGAGCAUGCGGCUUAAUUCGACGCAACGCGAAGAACCUUACCAAGGCUUGACAUAUACAGGAAUAUGGCAGAGAUGUCAUAGCCGCAAGGUCUGUAUACAGGUGGUGCGUGGUUGUCGUCAGCUCGUGUCGUGAGAUGUUGGGUUAAGUCCCGCAACGAGCGCAACCCUCGUUCUGUGUUGCCAGCAUUAAGUUGGGGACUCACAGGAGACUGCCGGGGUUAACUCGGAGGAAGGUGGGGAUGACGUCAAAUCAUCAUGCCCCUUAUGUCUUGGGCUGCACGCAUGCUACAAUGGCUGGUACAAACGGCUGCGAUACCGCAAGGUGGAGCGAAUCCGAUAAAGCCAGUCUCAGUUCGGAUCGGGGUCUGCAACUCGACCCCAUGAAGUCGGAGUUGCUAGUAAUCGUAGAUCAGCAACGCUACGGUGAAUACGUUCCCGGGGCUUGUACACACCGCCCGUCACAUCACGAAAGUCGGUAACAC